AAAUAUUUAUACUUAAGUAGUAAUAGUUAUAUUCUUGAAACUUAAAAAAUUUGGCGGUAUUUUAGUCUAUCCAGAGGAACCUGUUUUGUAAUCGAUAAUCCACGAUGGACCUUACUUAAAUUUGUAAUCAGUUUAUAUACCGUCGUUAUUAGAAUAUUUUAUAAGAAUAAUAAUAUUCAAUAAUUUUUAUUAAAAUUUAUAUCAGAUCAAGGUGUAGCUUAUAUUUAUGUAAUAAUGGGUUACAAUAAAUUUAUUUAAACGAAUAAAAUUAUGAAAAAAUUUUUGAAGGUGGAUUUGGUUGUAAAAUUAUAAAGAUUAAUAAUUUGAUUUUAGCUCUAAAAUAUGUACACAUCGCCCGUCGCUCUUAUUAUUAAGGUAAGAUAAGUCGUAACAUAGUAGAUGUACUGGAAAGUGUAUCUAGAAUGA
RNAcentral lists this ribosomal RNA (426 nucleotides) under Drosophila guayllabambae. Its description in RNAcentral is "partial 12S ribosomal RNA". Lineage: Eukaryota; Metazoa; Arthropoda; Insecta; Diptera; Drosophilidae. The record is from RNAcentral.